Molecule: ribosomal RNA, 621 nt
Filed under: Candidozyma haemuli
Lineage: Eukaryota; Fungi; Ascomycota; Pichiomycetes; Serinales; Metschnikowiaceae
Description: eukaryotic LSU rRNA
Rfam family: 5.8S ribosomal RNA (bases 206-355)
Source: RNAcentral
GGCUUAGUGAGGCCUCCGGAUCUGGCUAGCCUCGAGGGCAACCUCGUCGCAGGCCGGAGAAGCUGGUCAAACUUGGUCAUUUAGAGGAAGUAAAAGUCGUAACAAGGUUUCCGUAGGUGAACCUGCGGAAGGAUCAUUAAAAUACUUUUCAAAACUUUGUUUUGAAUUAAAAGCAACCACCGUUAAGUUCAAAAAUCUAAAACAAAACUUUCAACAACGGAUCUCUUGGUUCUCGCAUCGAUGAAGAACGCAGCGAAUUGCGAUACGUAGUAUGACUUGCAGACGUGAAUCAUCGAAUCUUUGAACGCAUAUUGCGCCUUGGGGCAUUCCCCAAGGCAUGCCUGUUUGAGCGUGAUAUCUUCUCACCGUUGGUGGAUUUGUUUCUAAAUAUCAUCCCACAGUGAAGUCUACGCUUUCACUGCUUUUUCCCCUCAAAUCAGGUAGGACUACCCGCUGAACUUAAGCAUAUCAAUAAGCGGAGGAAAAGAAACCAACAGGGAUUGCCUCAGUAACGGCGAGUGAAGCGGCAAGAGCUCAACUUUGGAAUCGCUGCGGCGAGUUGUAGUCUGGAGGUGGCCGGUCCCGGCGCCAGCGCGCAGCCAAGUCCUUUGGAACAAGGCG